GUCUGAGUGAGAGAGAGCAGAAAAAUGUUACACCCACCACCUUCCAGAGGGCAAAGAGCCUCCAACGGCGCGCGCUUGCCGUGCUGUGAGGUGUCUCCUGGUAACGCUGCCUUGAUAUGAUCAACACUGCAGCUACUGCUUCUCAGCAUCUCAGCAUUGCUAUAAAGCAUAUGCUUGCCUGCACACCAACGCCUGCUCCCUCUUCAGCUCCUGGAAACCCACCUGGGGCUAAACGUGGGGUGCCGGCAAGGAGCCGUGGCACAGCAGUAGCUGUCAUUUCGGCAGCCUUUGAAAAGGCAUUGCUCUGGCAGUAUAAAAGGCCUUUAGGGCAUCCCCGGAUGGUGUUGUCUGUUCAGACUGAAAGCCUGCCUUGCAGCCAUGCUGAUCCCGUGACAUCCGGCCCCAGAUACCCCGCUGAAAGCAGAAGUCACUGAGGAACCAGAGGGAAAUGUGUGAAUGCAAGACUGUGGUGAGCUCCAGCUGAUCCCUGCUAAGGAUGUGUCAGGCACUUGGUAUCACAGGUAUGUCUUUCCUUCCCAGGGGAAAAAUUUACAGGCAGUCUUUGGGAAAUCAAAGAUAAAUGCAUGUUUGAUGAGUUAAAUGUACCAAAGCGCCAAAUUGUUCCCAUCCCAGAUGAAACUUUGUGCAAGAAAUGACACACCAGAUCUGCCUUGCAUGGAUAACCACAAAUAGCAAUUACAGAAUUACCUCCUGGGCAUGUUUUUUAUGGUGAAACUCUGUGGUGGGCAGAGUAGAAGAGGUCAAACUUGUCAGUCACAGCAGUGUCUCCUGCUUUGAAGAUCAGUGAAUUUGUCAGUUAUAGUCAGGAGAAAUGAGGCACCAGAACCAGCCCACGCACAACAGUUCACAGGCAAAGAUUCAGGGAGGUUUAGAUCCAUGGUCUUGAUACACUUC
Long non-coding RNA from Melospiza melodia melodia, 915 nucleotides. RefSeq lists it as uncharacterized. The record is from RefSeq and is a predicted model, not a curated record. NCBI's taxonomy places the organism in Eukaryota, Metazoa, Chordata, Aves, Passeriformes, Passerellidae. The transcript is spliced from 3 exons.